Molecule: ribosomal RNA, 253 nt
Filed under: uncultured bacterium
Lineage: Bacteria
Description: partial 16S ribosomal RNA
Rfam family: Bacterial small subunit ribosomal RNA
Source: RNAcentral
GACGUAGGUCGCAAACGUUAUCCGGAAUCAUUGGGCGUAAAGAGUUCGUAGGUGGUUUGUUAAGUAGAUUGUUAAAGACCCAAGCUUAACUUGGGGACUGCGAUCUAAACUGGCAGACUAGAGAGAGGCAGGGGCAGAUGGAAUUCUGUGUGUAGGGGUAAUAUCCGUAGAUACACAGAGGAACACCAAAAGCGAAGGCAUUCUGCUGGGCCUCUUCUGACACUCAAGAACGAAAGCGUGGGGAGCAAACAGG